UACGUAGGGUGCAAGCGUUAAUCGGAAUUACUGGGCGUAAAGCGCGCGUAGGCGGCUUUGUAAGUCGGUUGUGAAAUCCCCGGGCUUAACCUGGGAACUGCAUCCGAGACUGCAUGGCUAGAGUAUGGGAGAGGGAAGUGGAAUUUCAGGUGUAGCGGUGAAAUGUGUAGAUAUCUGAAGGAACAUCAGUGGCGAAAGCGACUUCCUGGACCAAUACUGACGCUCAUGUGCGAAAGCGUGGGGAGCAAACAGG
RNAcentral lists this ribosomal RNA (253 nucleotides) under uncultured bacterium. RNAcentral describes it as "partial 16S ribosomal RNA". It matches the Rfam family "Bacterial small subunit ribosomal RNA", at positions 524 to 776 of the family's 1533-position model. The record is from RNAcentral.